Picea glauca (white spruce) is the source of this 121-nucleotide non-coding RNA. NCBI's taxonomy places the organism in Eukaryota, Viridiplantae, Streptophyta, Pinopsida, Pinales, Pinaceae. The record is from Rfam.
AUAUGCCUACAACAUAGUGUUAAUGCAUCAGAUCCAUUUAAAACUUUGCAAUUAACAAUGCUCAGGCUCGAGUAGUACUGGGAUGGGUGACCUCUCGGGAAGUCCUAGUGUUUUACAUGCC